AUGCAGAUACCAGGGAGAAGAACUACCAUGACCUACUGGGGACACUCCACCAAAAAAAGGAAGAAAGCCUCAGAUGGGCAUGAGGACAACUUUCUCAACACACUGCAUGCUCAAUUCUCAAGGGUAAGGAGGGCACUACACAUGCUGGAAGCCCUCCCUAAGGGAAGGAUCAUGGAAAAGAGGUGGGCCCAUAAAGUCCUUGUAUCAAUGUUAAACAAUCUCUUUGACCUUCAGGUGCCCAUUUGGGUCUCUUCCAAUCAAAUUCUCUUUCUUCUGAGAAGACAAGAACUGAAGCUUCUGUAGACCUAUACGAAUACACUACUGGGAACUCAGGAUAAUUUGGAUACCUGGCACUGGUAACGAUAGGAUAAGGUGGGGAUACACAGUAGUGAUGAAGCUUAUCUUGUGUUGCAUAGCUGAUAUUAAUUUGGAGCAAGCACUUAUAAGGAUAUUUGUCUUUUUGAAAAUUAGAUGUGAAUUUAUGAAGCAAACACAAGGACAUUCAACUGCUUUCACAUUUUGUAGCAUAAUGGUUACCUUUACAGACCUAGAGUCAGCUUAUCUGGGUUCAAAUUCCAGUUCUUCUAUUUAAGAGUUGUGUAACUUUAGGCAAAUUGUCAAAGUACAAUGUGCCUUGGUUCCCUCCUUUUCAAUUGAAAAUAAUAGUACCUAGUUUGUUAAAUAACUCAUAAGAAUAAAUAAUAUUAUGCACAUAAAACAUACCUAAUGAUGUCCGACACAGCCACAGAUCGAUGCCAAAAAGGUUGUGGUUGUUGUCAUCAUGAUCAUCAUUCUUACAGUACUUUAGAAAGUCUAUUUUUCUGGCCACUGUAGAGAUUAAAGCAGAGACAACAGGCAUUUUUGUCUGUUUUCAGUUUAACAAAAUUUUAUUGUAAACUGUGUAUGUGCUAGGCACUGUUUGGCUUUGCAUCACAGAAAUAAAUGAUAGAGAGUCCCCAAGCUUUACAAAGCUUCAGAUUUUUUCUCCUUUCCUGUUGGAUUUUUCUGUUGCUCUCUUAUGCCUAUUUGCAUUUUAACAAAAAUGCAAAGCAACUCAUAAGUCAGUUCUGUCAUGAGGUAGUUCAACAGUCACCAGAAUAGCAAAAUAAAAUGGACAAAAUUGCUUAAAACUCCCCUUGACUUAGAGGCACAGACUUAGUAUCGUAUAAGUUCCUCUUUGGAAAUGUGUGCAAGUGACAGUAUCUAAAUAUAAUUUCUGGCCAUUUUUUUAAAGACAAAAUAUAUGGCAAAUGCUGUUUAUACCCUCUCCAUAACUUUUAAUUCUCCAUGUAAUUUGAUAAGCUCUUCCCACGGUUCAAAUUCAGAGAUUACAGUGAUUCACCUAAAAUCAUUUACAGCAGGGGCAGAGCCAGAGGUAGAAACCCUAUUUUCUGAUUCUGACACCCUUACGGUUCCCACAAUACUGUGCCUCCAUUGUCAUGGGCUUAUUCAUGUCUUUCCCAGUGUUUUCUCUCUUG
This 1478-nucleotide long non-coding RNA is filed under the name Callithrix jacchus (white-tufted-ear marmoset). Its description in RNAcentral is "lncRNA (ENSCJAG00000074371.1)". The record is from RNAcentral. Lineage: Eukaryota; Metazoa; Chordata; Mammalia; Primates; Cebidae.